This 495-nucleotide ribosomal RNA is filed under the name uncultured bacterium. RNAcentral's name for it is "partial 16S ribosomal RNA". It matches the Rfam family "Bacterial small subunit ribosomal RNA", at positions 28 to 505 of the family's 1533-position model. The record is from RNAcentral.
GAUGAACGCUGGCGGCGUGCCUAAUACAUGCAAGUCGAGCGAACGGACGAGAAGCUUGCUUCUCUGAUGUUAGCGGCGGACGGGUGAGUAACACGUGGAUAACCUACCUAUAAGACUGGGAUAACUUCGGGAAACCGGAGCUAAUACCGGAUAAUAUUUUGAACCGCAUGGUUCAAAAGUGAAAGACGGUCUUGCUGUCACUUAUAGAUGGAUCCGCGCUGCAUUAGCUAGUUGGUAAGGUAACGGCUUACCAAGGCAACGAUGCAUAGCCGACCUGAGAGGGUGAUCGGCCACACUGGAACUGAGACACGGUCCAGACUCCUACGGGAGGCAGCAGUAGGGAAUCUUCCGCAAUGGGCGAAAGCCUGACGGAGCAACGCCGCGUGAGUGAUGAAGGUCUUCGGAUCGUAAAACUCUGUUAUUUGGGAAGAACAUAUGUGUAAGUAACUGUGCACAUCUUGACGGUACCUAAUCAGAAAGCCACGGCUAACUACG